GGGGCUGUAAUGGUUUCGACGGGAGUCUUGAAAAUAGAGAUAGCCAUCCGCAGCAUCGGUCAACUGCGUAAUAAGGCCGUAAACUUUUAAAAAGAAAAGACAACAAUAAUUCUUUAAUGGCUGCCUAAGCGCAGCCCGUUGGCCCGAGAUUGCUCACAGUUUCGGUAACCGGCGUCGUCUUUGUGAGGCCCUUUCAUGCUUAAGCUUUGCGGCUUGAAAAGAUAAAUGAAGCUACCUGAUUCUUCAGCCUGAUUGUCGGCGGUUGAUGACGGGAAAUUUAAAUGACAAUCUGUGAUGGGAGAAGUCUUUAUCGACGGGUUUUCGGACAGGAGUUCGAUUCUCCUCAGCUCCA
Molecule: transfer-messenger RNA, 352 nt
Filed under: bioreactor metagenome
Description: transfer-messenger RNA, SsrA
Rfam family: transfer-messenger RNA
About the family: Bacterial tmRNA, also known as 10Sa RNA or SsrA, is named for its dual tRNA and mRNA-like properties. Its role is to liberate the mRNA from a stalled ribosome. To accomplish this part of the tmRNA is used as a reading frame that ends in a translation stop signal.
Source: RNAcentral